RNAcentral lists this ribosomal RNA (522 nucleotides) under uncultured Streptococcus sp. RNAcentral's name for it is "partial 16S ribosomal RNA". The record is from RNAcentral. Lineage: Bacteria; Bacillati; Bacillota; Bacilli; Lactobacillales; Streptococcaceae.
CACGUAGUUAGCCGUCCCUUUCUGGUAAGAUACCGUCACAGUGUGAACUUUCCACUCUCACACUCGUUCUUCUCUUACAACAGAGCUUUACGAUCCGAAAACCUUCUUCACUCACGCGGCGUUGCUCGGUCAGACUUCCGUCCAUUGCCGAAGAUUUCCCUACUGCUGCCUCCCGUAGGAGUCUGGGCCGUGUCUCAGUCCCAGUGUGGCCGAUCACCCUCUCAGGUCGGCUAUGUAUCGUCGCCUUGGUGAGCCGUUACCCCACCAACUAGCUAAUACAACGCAGGUCCAUCUGGUAGUGAUGCAAUUGCACCUUUUAAGCAAAUGUCAUGCAACAUCUACUCUUAUGCGGUAUUAGCUAUCGUUUCCAAUAGUUACUCCCCGCUACCAGGCAGGUUACCUACGUCGUUACUCACCCGUUCGCCAACUCAUCGUAGAAGCAAGAGUCCUCCUUCCUACGCGUUCCUACUUCGUCACUGUACGUAGUUACGGACCACCGGCCGACCACGUCGUUCCGUUCCG